Molecule: non-coding RNA, 26 nt
Filed under: Homo sapiens (human)
Lineage: Eukaryota; Metazoa; Chordata; Mammalia; Primates; Hominidae
Source: RNAcentral
UGGAAGCCCACUCGGUCAGCAGCUGG